RNAcentral lists this ribosomal RNA (497 nucleotides) under uncultured bacterium. Its description in RNAcentral is "partial 16S ribosomal RNA". It matches the Rfam family "Bacterial small subunit ribosomal RNA", at positions 28 to 507 of the family's 1533-position model. The record is from RNAcentral.
GAUGAACGCUGGCGGCGUGCCUAAUACAUGCAAGUCGAGCGAACAGAUAAGGAGCUUGCUCCUUUGACGUUAGCGGCGGACGGGUGAGUAACACGUGGGUAACCUACCUAUAAGACUGGGAUAACUUCGGGAAACCGGAGCUAAUACCGGAUAACAUUUGGAACCGCAUGGUUCUAAAGUGAAAGAUGGUUUUGCUAUCACUUAUAGAUGGACCCGCGCCGUAUUAGCUAGUUGGUAAGGUAACGGCUUACCAAGGCGACGAUACGUAGCCGACCUGAGAGGGUGAUCGGCCACACUGGAACUGAGACACGGUCCAGACUCCUACGGGAGGCAGCAGUAGGGAAUCUUCCGCAAUGGGCGAAAGCCUGACGGAGCAACGCCGCGUGAGUGAUGAAGGGUUUCGGCUCGUAAAACGCUGUUAUUAGGGAAGAACAAAUGUGUAAGUAACUGUGCACGUCUUGACGGUACCUAAUCAGAAAGCCACGGCUAACUACGUG